UACGUAGGGUGCGAGCGUUAAUCGGAAUUACUGGGCGUAAAGCGUGCGCAGGCGGUUUUGUAAGCCAGAUGUGAAAUCCCCGGGCUUAACCUGGGAAUGGCAUUUGGGACUGCAAGGCUGGAGUUUGGCAGAGGAGACUGGAAUUCCUGGUGUAGCAGUGAAAUGCGUAGAGAUCGUAAGGAAGGCCAGUGGCGAAGGCGAGUUCCUGGACAGUUACUGACGCUGAGGCACGAAGGCCAGGGGAGCAAACGGG
This 253-nucleotide ribosomal RNA is filed under the name uncultured bacterium. Its description in RNAcentral is "partial 16S ribosomal RNA". It matches the Rfam family "Bacterial small subunit ribosomal RNA", at positions 524 to 776 of the family's 1533-position model. The record is from RNAcentral.